Molecule: RNA transcript, 1293 nt
Organism: Thalassophryne amazonica
Lineage: Eukaryota; Metazoa; Chordata; Actinopteri; Batrachoidiformes; Batrachoididae
Exons: 7
Source: RefSeq, a predicted model, not a curated record
GCGCAUAGCUGACGAGGAAACGAAGUGGAUUUGGACCGUUCACACCAGGCAGGUUCAGCAGCACGCAUUGUUCUAAAAAUGAUUCUUUAUGAGGAGCUUCUCGCAGAGGUUGUCACUCAUUGAGCAACGCAGAGGACAGACUACCCUGCAAUGUCACUCAGACGGACGGACAUACUCUGUACAGCAUCCCUGAGUUUCACGCACUUGAUUGUGAAUACUUUUGGGCCAACAGCACUGAUCAUGUGCUGGCGAACAAAUUGGAACAGUUGCCCGAUGUGGUACAAGAACACACUGACCACAGCCUCAGGACCACUGAUUGCAUCAACGUCAUCAAGUACACACGAAAUUGUGUCUCUGAGGGGGUACAGAAGAUGGCCUCCUGCUUCACUGACUGUGCUGCUGACUCUCAGGACCUUACAGUGCAACCAUACAUGAUGAAUUCCACCACUGCUGUCAUACCUACUGUUUCCACAAGAGAUGGUGACCUGACACCUGUUUGGAUUGUGCUGUCAGUGCUGCUGGUACUCUUGGUGCUUUGUGGUCUGAUCUGGAGAAAGAAGAUAUGCAGAUGCUGCACCAGGAUGAUGAACGUCAAACAAAAUCCGAUGGUUAGAUACAAGGUAGCUCAUCAGAAUGAGCAGGAACAAAAUGUGGGAGAGAAUUUCCGAAAUGAAGUCGUUAUCAGCUCUUGAUGUAACUUUGGUACCAUCCAAAACCCCUUAAUUAAUGCAGUACUUUAGCAUUUAUAUACAGUUGUGCUCAGCACCAUGCAUUCUUGCCACUGACAGUUCCAUAUUUGUGAUGUCAAUGUACAUGUUAAUGCAGUGGGGCUUGUGAACUGUAUGCGGAGGUUUCAAGCGUAAGGACAGCAUCUUUUUGGCAGCAGUGAUUCCUGUUAUGAGUGUACAUCUCUUCAAACAUGACAACUCUAGUGAAGUGGUUUCAUUCAAAAGUAACACAGUGGGAGAACAUCCAGUACAACGGAAAGAGCAGCACAGACCUCACCCCCAAAAAAGCCUCACGUCUUUACAUUCCCAGUACAUGUGCAUGUAUGAGCCUAUAAGUCCAUCUGAGCGGAAUCUGUUCUGAAAAUUAACUGAUACAAUCUGUGGAGAAGCUACUGAUGAAAUUCACAGAUGAAUUCAGCCUCAAGCUUCAGCUGUUAAACUGAACGUACAAGUCUCCAGAAUAUGAGACGGUGACUACGUUUACAUGCAGCCAAUAACCCUUUCAUAACCGGAAUAUUAGCAAUAACCUGGUUGCGCACGGCCAUGUAAACACCCGCAAAAACCC